GACGAACGCUGGCGGCGUGCUUAACACAUGCAAGUCGAACGGAAAGGCCCUGCUUUUGUGGGGUGCUCGAUUGGCGAACGGGUGAGUAACACGUGAGUAACCUGCCCUUGACUUUGGGAUAACUUCAGGAAACUGGGUCUAAUACCGGAUAGGAGCUCCUGCUGCAUGGUGGUGGUUGGAAAGAUUCGGCGGUUGUGGAUGGAUUCGCGGCUUAUCAGCUUGUUGGUGGGGUAGUGGCUUACCAAGGCUUUGACGGGUAGCCGGCCUGAGAGGGUGACCGGCGACCUUGCGACUGCGGUACGGCCCAGAAUCGUACGGGAGGCAGCAGUGGGGAAUAUUGCACAAUGGGCGGAAGCCUGAUACAGCAGCGCCGCGUGCGGGAUGACCGCCUUCGGGUUGUAAACCGAUUUCGCCUGUACCGAAGAGUGAGUGACGGUAAUGGGUAAAAAAGCACCGGCUAACUACGUG
RNAcentral lists this ribosomal RNA (468 nucleotides) under uncultured bacterium. Its description in RNAcentral is "partial 16S ribosomal RNA". It matches the Rfam family "Bacterial small subunit ribosomal RNA", at positions 28 to 507 of the family's 1533-position model. The record is from RNAcentral.